UACGAAGGGGGCUAGCGUUGUUCGGAUUUACUGGGCGUAAAGCGCACGUAGGCGGAUUGUUAAGUCAGGGGUGAAAUCCUGGAGCUCAACUCCAGAACUGCCUUUGAUACUGGCAAUCUUGAGUCCGGAAGAGGUGAGUGGAACUCCUAGUGUAGAGGUGGAAUUCGUAGAUAUUAGGAAGAACACCAGUGGCGAAGGCGGCUCACUGGUCCGGUACUGACGCUGAGGUGCGAAAGCGUGGGGAGCAAGCAGG
RNAcentral lists this ribosomal RNA (253 nucleotides) under uncultured bacterium. RNAcentral's name for it is "partial 16S ribosomal RNA". It matches the Rfam family "Bacterial small subunit ribosomal RNA", at positions 524 to 776 of the family's 1533-position model. The record is from RNAcentral.